CUAGCCGUAAACUAUGGACGCUAGAUGUUCCUGCGUUUAAGCGGGAGUGUCGAAGCUAACGCGUUAAGCGUCCCGCCUGGGGAGUACGGUCGCAAGAUUGAAACUCAAAGGAAUUGACGGGGGCCCGCACAAGCGGUGGAGCAUGUGGUUUAAUUCGACGCAACGCGAAGAACCUUACCUGGGCUUGAACUGCUGAUAGUAGGGACCUGAAAGGGCGACGAUCCUGGAUUCCAGGAAGUCAGCAGAGGUGC
Molecule: ribosomal RNA, 251 nt
Filed under: uncultured bacterium
Lineage: Bacteria
Description: partial 16S ribosomal RNA
Rfam family: Bacterial small subunit ribosomal RNA
Source: RNAcentral